CAGCAGCCCGGUAAUACGAAGGGUGCAAGCGUUACUCGGAAUUACUGGGCGUAAAGCGUGCGUAGGUGGUGGUUUAAGUCCGUUGUGAAAGCCCUGGGCUCAACCUGGGAAUUGCAGUGGAUACUGGGUCACUAGAGUGUGGUAGAGGAUAGUGGAAUUUCCGGUGUAGCAGUGAAAUGCGUAGAGAUCGGAAGGAACAUCUGUGGCGAAGGCGACUAUCUGGGCCAACACUGACACUGAGGCACGAAAGCGUGGGGAGCAAACAGGAUUAGAUACCCCCGUAGUCCCUGUCUCUUAUACA
RNAcentral lists this ribosomal RNA (301 nucleotides) under uncultured bacterium. Its description in RNAcentral is "partial 16S ribosomal RNA". It matches the Rfam family "Bacterial small subunit ribosomal RNA", at positions 509 to 808 of the family's 1533-position model. The record is from RNAcentral.